This 786-nucleotide ribosomal RNA is filed under the name uncultured archaeon. RNAcentral describes it as "bacterial SSU rRNA". It matches the Rfam family "Archaeal small subunit ribosomal RNA", at positions 88 to 876 of the family's 1478-position model. The record is from RNAcentral.
GCUCAGUAAACACGUGACAACCUACCCAAGAGUCAGGGAUAACCCCGGGAAACUGGGGGAAUAACCUGAUAGGCCACGACAUCUGGAAUCGAGUUGUGGUUUAAACGUAAGGCUCUUGGAUGGGUCUGCGGCGGAUUAGGUUGUUGCCGGUGUAACGUACCAGCAAGCCUGUAAUCCGUACGGGUUGUGGGAGCAAGAGCCCGGAGAUGGAUUCUGAGACACGAAUCCAGGCCCUACGGGGCGCAGCAGGCGCGAAAACUCUACAAUGCAGGCAACUGCGAUAGGGGAACAUCGAGUGGCACCCACCAUGGGUGUCUGUCCAAUCGUCUAAAAAACGAUUGUCAGCAAGGGCCGGGCAAGACCGGUGCCAGCCGCCGCGGUAAUACCGGCGGCUCGAGUGGUGGCCGAUAUUAUUGAGUCUAAAGGGUCCGUAGCCGGCUUUGCAAGUCCCCUGGGAAAUCCAGCGGCUUAACCGUUGGGCUUUCAUGGGAUACUACAUUGCUUGGGACUGGGAGAGGUAGGAGGUACUCAGGGGGUAGGGGUGAAAUCCUGUAAUCCUUUGGGGACCACCGGUGGCGAAGGCGUCCUACCAGAACAGGUCCGACGGUGAGGGACGAAAGCUAGGGGCACGAACCGGAUUAGAUACCCGGGUAGUCCUAGCCGUAAACGAUGCUCGCUAGGUGUCACGGCAGUCGUGAAUUGUCGUGGUGCCGUAGGGAAGCCGUGAAGCGAGCCACUUGGGAAGUACGACCGCAAGGUUGAAACUUAAAGGAAUUGGCGGGGGAG